This 418-nucleotide ribosomal RNA is filed under the name uncultured prokaryote. Its description in RNAcentral is "bacterial SSU rRNA". It matches the Rfam family "Archaeal small subunit ribosomal RNA", at positions 455 to 873 of the family's 1478-position model. The record is from RNAcentral.
GUGCCAGCAGCCGCGGUAAUACCAGCUCUCCGAGUGGUGUGGAUGUUUAUUGGGCCUAAAGCAUCCGUAGCUUGCUGAUCAAGUCCCCUGUUAAACCCAACGAAUCAAUCGUUGGAUUGCGGGGGAUACUGCUCGGCUAGGGGACGGGAGAGGCCGACGGUAUUUUCGGGGUAGGGGUGAAAUCCUAUAAUCCCGAGAGGACCACCAGUGGCGAAGGCUGUCGGCUAGAACGCGCCCAACGGUGAGGGAUGAAAGCUGGGGGAGCGAACCGGAUUAGAUACCCGGGUAGUCCCAGCUGUAAACGAUGCAGGCUAGGUGUUUGGGCGGCCACGCGCCGCUCUAGUGCCGCAGGGAAGCUGUUAAGCCUGCCGCCUGGGGAGUACGGCCGCAAGGCUGAAACUCAAAGGAAUUGGCGGGG